UUGAUAGAAAACUACAAAUUCUAUCCGCCCGGGAACUACGAGCAUAAGCUUAAAACCCAAAGGACUUGGCGGUGCUUUAGACCCCCCUAGAGGAGCCUGUUCUAGAACCGAUAACCCCCGUUAGACCUCACCUUUUCUUGUCUAUCCCGCCUAUAUACCGCCGUCGUCAGCUUACCCUGUGAAGGAUUAAUAGUAAGCAAAACUGGUAAAACCCAAAACGCCAGGUCGAGGUGUAGCAUACGAAAAGGAAAGAAAUGGGCUACAUUUCCUUCCCCCAGGAAACACGAAUUGUGCUAUGAAAUAACACAUGAAGGUGGAUUUAGCAGUAAGCAGAAAACAGAGAGUUCCGCUGAAACCGGCCCUGAAGCGCGC
This 372-nucleotide ribosomal RNA is filed under the name Gambusia holbrooki (eastern mosquitofish). Its description in RNAcentral is "partial 12S ribosomal RNA". It matches the Rfam family "Bacterial small subunit ribosomal RNA", at positions 846 to 1384 of the family's 1533-position model. The record is from RNAcentral. Lineage: Eukaryota; Metazoa; Chordata; Actinopteri; Cyprinodontiformes; Poeciliidae.